Molecule: ribosomal RNA, 182 nt
Filed under: uncultured bacterium
Lineage: Bacteria
Description: partial 16S ribosomal RNA
Rfam family: Bacterial small subunit ribosomal RNA
Source: RNAcentral
GAAGCUGGAAUCGCUGUAAUCGCGGAUCAGCACGCCGCGGUGAAUACGUUCCCGGGCCUUGUACACACCGCCCGUCACACCAUGGAAGUCUGCAAUGCCCGAAGCCGGUGGCCUAACCACUUAUGUGGAAGGAGCCGUCUAAGGCAGGGCAGAUGACUGGGGUGAAGUCGUAACAAGGUAAC